RNAcentral lists this ribosomal RNA (415 nucleotides) under uncultured bacterium. RNAcentral's name for it is "bacterial SSU rRNA". It matches the Rfam family "Bacterial small subunit ribosomal RNA", at positions 30 to 429 of the family's 1533-position model. The record is from RNAcentral.
AGCGAACGCUGGCGGCGUGGCUUAGGCAUGCAAGUCGAGCGAGAAACCAGGGGCAACUCUGGUAGUAAAGCGGCGAAAGGGUGAGGAUUAUAUCGACAACCUACCCCGAUGACCGGGACAACGACUGGAAACGGUCGCUAAUACCGGAUGGCCCCGCAGGGAGGCAUCUUCCCGCGGGUAAAUGGAGGGGACCUUUAGGCCUUCCGCAUCGUGAGGGGUCGGAUAUCCUAUCAGCUAGUUGGCGGGGUAAUGGCCCACCAAGGCGACGACGGGUAGCCGGACUGAGAGGUUGGCCGGUCACACUGGGACUGAGACACUGCCCAGACUCCUACGGGAGGCUGCAGUCGCGAAUAUUCCGCAAUGGGCGAAAGCCUGACGGAGCGACGCCGCGUGUGGGAUGAAGGCCUGGUGUAAC